AAGAGGACCUUGUCCCACUGAAUGCACAUCAUGUCAGGAUAGGAUCAAACAUCAUUAGUGAUGAAUGGCGUGCUUAUCGUUCCCUGCAUGCACUUGGUUACAAUCAUAUGACUGAAUCAUGCAAGGUGGCAUGUAGAUGCCCAAACAGGUGCUGAAUCAUUCUGCCCUUUUCGAUGCUCCUUUUCUCUUCUCAUUUAAGUACCAGGAGGAGCUCUUCUUUCUGAGGGUGAACAAGAUCACCUGAUUCCUCCACCUCGCGGUGCCUUUUGGAGAGUGACUUCUUUGUUGGUGCUGGCUGAAUGAUUGCUCAUUCAUUCCUCCAUGAUGGGCCGGGCCUUGGAGGACUCAGCCCAGCUGUUCUGCAUGUGCUCUUUGGUGGAAGCCCAGAAGAAGUCAUGAUGAAAAUAUCAAGGACUGUGCUGACCUCGAUAUCCGCAAGACAGUCAAAGUGUCACAUGUGAGAACAGAAGAUGCUGCUGGACAAGCUGAUGCUCCACGCAGAACUUGGAAGAAGCUCAAGACGGGUUAAACAGUUACGAAGGGGCUUAAAAGAGACGCUGAUCUGGCCUUUGCUAACUGAGAGGAAAGACACAAUUCCCCUCCUCUUUCCAAGAGCAUGUGAUGUACAGCGCACACCACAGGCCAGUGACCCCGUGAACUCACACUAGUGACUUUCUCAGAAAUGACAUGCGUUUUCUACUCUCAUGCAGACUUUGGUUAAAGUGAAGUUACUUAUUGAUCACUGGUUUCCUCCCCUUAAGUUAAACCGACAUCACUG
Long non-coding RNA from Gasterosteus aculeatus aculeatus (three-spined stickleback), 778 nucleotides. Lineage: Eukaryota; Metazoa; Chordata; Actinopteri; Perciformes; Gasterosteidae. The record is from Ensembl.